This 535-nucleotide long non-coding RNA is filed under the name Sander lucioperca (pikeperch). RNAcentral describes it as "lncRNA (ENSSLUG00000004310.1)". The record is from RNAcentral. Lineage: Eukaryota; Metazoa; Chordata; Actinopteri; Perciformes; Percidae.
CCAGGUUGGUGGUGGUGGCUGAUUGUUGUGUAUGUGGCUGUUGCAGCUCUCAUAAUCAUCACUGUGGUUGUUGCAGCUCUCAUAAUCAUCACUGUGGCUGUCCUCAGAUGGAAGAGAGCUAAAGGGAACAAAACACAGACGGAGGUUGAAAACAUGGCUGAUCCUGAAGGUGGUGUUUCCUACGCCUCCAUCAGCUACACCAAGAAGACCAACAGGAGAGCCCAGGCUCGGGGUGGAGAUGAUGAUGAAGAUGAUGCAGUGACCUACAGCACCGUGAAAGCUCCCUCUUCCUCUGCUGCUGCUGCAGCCUCUGCUGAUCUCAGCAACCUCUACGCCACCAUCAACAAACUAAAGAAUUAAUAGAGCACAGGGUAGUUACAGCUCGUAUCAUACAGAUAUAUUUGGUUACUUGAUAUGGAAGAAAGAUAUGAUAAACAAAUGAUUAGCUCAUAAUCAAGAGAUGUGCGCACAAUGUUCUAUAACUAUGGCCGAGGCAUUUCUCAAUAAGAGCAACAGGCUGAUCAUGUAUGGAUUG